GACGAACGCUGGCGGCGUGCUUAACACAUGCAAGUCGAACGGAAAGGCCCUGCUUUUGUGGGGUGCUCGAGUGGCGAACGGGUGAGUAACACGUGAGUAACCUGCCCUUGACUUUGGGAUAACUUCAGGAAACUGGGGCUAAUACCGGAUAGGAGCUCCUGCUGCAUGGUGGGGGUUGGAAAGUUUCGGCGGUUGGGGAUGGACUCGCGGCUUAUCAGCUUGUUGGUGGGGUAGUGGCUUACCAAGGCUUUGACGGGUAGCCGGCCUGAGAGGGUGACCGGCCACAUUGGGACUGAGAUACGGCCCAGACUCCUACGGGAGGCAGCAGUGGGGAAUAUUGCACAAUGGGCGGAAGCCUGAUGCAGCAACGCCGCGGGCGGGAUGACGGCCUUCGGGUGGUAAACCGCUUUCGCCUGUGACGAAGCGUGAGUGACGGUAAUGGGUAAAGAAGCACCGGCUAACUACGUG
Molecule: ribosomal RNA, 468 nt
Filed under: uncultured bacterium
Lineage: Bacteria
Description: partial 16S ribosomal RNA
Rfam family: Bacterial small subunit ribosomal RNA
Source: RNAcentral